This 242-nucleotide ribosomal RNA is filed under the name uncultured bacterium. RNAcentral's name for it is "partial 16S ribosomal RNA". It matches the Rfam family "Bacterial small subunit ribosomal RNA", at positions 923 to 1172 of the family's 1533-position model. The record is from RNAcentral.
GCACAAGCAGUGGAGUAUGUGGUUUAAUUCGAAGCAACGCGAAGAACCUUAUCAGGUCUUGACAUCGGAUGCAUACCUAAGAGAUUAGGGAAGUCCUUCGGGACAUCCAGACAGGUGGUGCAUGGUUGUCGUCAGCUCGUGUCGUGAGAUGUUGGGUUAAGUCCCGCAACGAGCGCAACCCUUAUUGCCAGUUACUACGCAAGAGGACUCCGGCGAGACUGCCGUUGACAAAACGGAGGAAG